UGGGUAACCUGCCUCAAAGAGGGGAAUAGCCUCCCGAAAGGGAGAUUAAUACCGCAUAAUAUGUUUAAGUCGCAUGACUUUAACAUCAAAGGAUUUUCUUUUAAGAAAUUCCACUUUGAGAUGGACCCGCGGCGCAUUAGCUAGUUGGUGAGGUAACGGCUCACCAAGGCAACGAUGCGUAGCCGACCUGAGAGGGUGACCGGCCACAUUGGAACUGAGACACGGUCCAGACUCCGUACGGGAGCAG
RNAcentral lists this ribosomal RNA (247 nucleotides) under uncultured bacterium. RNAcentral's name for it is "partial 16S ribosomal RNA". It matches the Rfam family "Bacterial small subunit ribosomal RNA", at positions 118 to 347 of the family's 1533-position model. The record is from RNAcentral.